CUAAAAAUAAGCUAAAAAAGCUAUUGGGCUCAUAACUCAAAAAUGAGUAUAUAACUUCUUUUUAGA
This 66-nucleotide transfer RNA is filed under the name Achatinella mustelina. RNAcentral describes it as "tRNA-Met". Lineage: Eukaryota; Metazoa; Mollusca; Gastropoda; Stylommatophora; Achatinellidae. The record is from RNAcentral.